UUUAUGUGUAUUAGGGACUCCCUUGCACGAGUACAAGGUCCCUUUUAGCUUGAUCUAGGCUUAAUACCCUAUUACAGCAUGAAAUCCCCUAUUUUCCACCCGGAUGAACAGUAAUCCGGACCGACAGCCGGUUACUUCAUCCCGGGUUUGAUCCACUUUCAGGACUCCAAAUUUGAUGAAAUUUUUACCUAACAUUCUACACUCAUAGGGAAUUCUAAAGAGGUAACAUGCAUUGCUAUCGGAGGUCGUUUGACCCCCUAAAUAAUUCGCCGAAGUUGGGACUUCGACACAGUUUUUUCGUAGUGCCGGAAAAAUUUGUCAAAAUCCGAUUCUUCUUCUUUUAACCGCCUCUACAACCCUUAUCCGACCCUUCUAGACUAUAUUCACCCUUUGUAUAGCCUAAUGUCAUCAAAAGACUAGAUAGGGAUGGAUAUUUAACUUUUUCUUUUUGGAAAAUCAAGGUCCUUGCGUAGAGGGGAAGGAGAUCUAUGUUUUUCCCUUCAGCUGGAAGUGCAACCGAGAUUCCUUUCCCUUUCUUUUUCUUCUUCUUCUUCCUCUUCCUU
This 563-nucleotide long non-coding RNA is filed under the name Phoenix dactylifera (date palm). Its description in RNAcentral is "long non-coding RNA (PDAC_LNC003246)". The record is from RNAcentral. Lineage: Eukaryota; Viridiplantae; Streptophyta; Magnoliopsida; Arecales; Arecaceae.